GUCUACAGUCAUGCCACCCUGAACGUGCCUGACCCCGUCUGAUCUUGGAAGCUAAGCAGGGUUGAGUCUGGUUAGUACUCUGGUUAGUACCACCUAAGGAAGACCAGGUGCUGUAGGCA
Molecule: ribosomal RNA, 119 nt
Filed under: Pteropus alecto (black flying fox)
Lineage: Eukaryota; Metazoa; Chordata; Mammalia; Chiroptera; Pteropodidae
Source: RNAcentral